RNAcentral lists this ribosomal RNA (515 nucleotides) under uncultured bacterium. RNAcentral describes it as "bacterial SSU rRNA". It matches the Rfam family "Bacterial small subunit ribosomal RNA", at positions 791 to 1304 of the family's 1533-position model. The record is from RNAcentral.
UAGUCCAUGCCGUAAACGAUGUGUGCUAGUUGUCGGGGUCUUUAGGCUUCGGUGACGCAGCUAACGCAUUAAGCACACCGCCUGGGGAGUACGGUCGCAAGAUUAAAACUCAAAGGAAUUGACGGGGACCCGCACAAGCGGUGGAGCAUGUUGUUUAAUUCGAAGCAACGCGAAGAACCUUACCCACACUUGACAUCCUGGUCGGGGAUUAUAGAGAUAUUUUCCUUCGGUUCGGCCGGACCAGUGACAGGUGCUGCAUGGCUGUCGUCAGCUCGUGUCGUAAGAUGUUUGGUUAAGUCCAGCAACGAGCGCAACCCCUAUCGUGUGUUACCAGCGGUUCGGCCGGGUACUCACGCGAGACUGCCGGUGUUAAGCCGGAGGAAGGUGGGGACGACGUCAAGUCAUCAUGGCCCUUACGUGUGGGGCUACAAACGUGCUACAAUGGGUGAUACAGUGGGCAGCCAGGUCGCGAGGCCGAGCUAAUCCCUAAAAUCAUUCUCAGUUCGGAUUGUACU